UACGUAGGGGGCAAGCGUUAUCCGGAAUCACUGGGCGUAAAGGGUGCGUAGGCGGCUAAUCAAGCCAGGGGUGAAAGGCUACGGCUUAACCGUAGUAAGCCUUUGGAACUGAUUAGCUUGAGUGCAGGAGAGGAGAGUGGAAUUCCUAGUGUAGCGGUGAAAUGCGUAGAUAUUAGGAGGAACACCAGUGGCGAAGGCGACUCUCUGGACUGUAACUGACGCUGAGGCACGAAAGCGUGGGGAGCAAACAGGAUUAGAUACCCUGGUAGUCCACGCCGUAAACGAUGAGUGCUAGGUGUCGGGGGUUCACACCCUCGGUGCCGGAGUUAACGCAAUAAGCACUCCGCCUGGGGAGUACGGUCGCAAGACUGAA
This 373-nucleotide ribosomal RNA is filed under the name uncultured bacterium. RNAcentral's name for it is "bacterial SSU rRNA". It matches the Rfam family "Bacterial small subunit ribosomal RNA", at positions 524 to 898 of the family's 1533-position model. The record is from RNAcentral.